This 492-nucleotide ribosomal RNA is filed under the name uncultured bacterium. RNAcentral describes it as "partial 16S ribosomal RNA". It matches the Rfam family "Bacterial small subunit ribosomal RNA", at positions 29 to 507 of the family's 1533-position model. The record is from RNAcentral.
AGUGAACGCUGGCGGCAGGCCUAACACAUGCAAGUCGAACGGCAGCACAGUAAGAGCUUGCUCUUACGGGUGGCGAGUGGCGGACGGGUGAGGAAUACAUCGGAAUCUACUUUUUCGUGGGGGAUAACGUAGGGAAACUUACGCUAAUACCGCAUACGACCUACGGGUGAAAGCAGGGGAUCUUCGGACCUUGCGCGAUUGAAUGAGCCGAUGUCGGAUUAGCUAGUUGGCGGGGUAAAGGCCCACCAAGGCGACGAUCCGUAGCUGGUCUGAGAGGAUGAUAAGCCCCACUGGAACUGAGACACGGUCCAGACUCCUACGGGAGGCAGCAGUGGGGAAUAUUGGACAAUGGGCGCAAGCCUGAUACAGCCAUACCGCGUGGGUGAAGAAGGCCUUCGGGUUGUAAAGCCAUUUUGUUGGGAAAGAAAAGCAGCAGGUUAAUACCCCGCUGUUCUGACGGUACCCAAAGAAUAAGCACCGGCUAACUUCGUG